AGCCAGACUCCUACGGGAGGCAGCAGUGGGGGAUAUUGCACAAUGGGGGGAACCCUGAUGCAGCGACGCCGCGUGGGUGAAGAAGCGCCUCGGCGCGUAAAGCCCUGUCAGCAGGGAAGAAAAUGACGGUACCUGAAGAAGAAGCCCCGGCUAACUACGUGCCAGCAGCCGCGGUAAUACGUAGGGGGCAAGCGUUAUCCGGAUUUACUGGGUGUAAAGGGGGCGCAGACGGCGAUGCAAGCCAGGAGUGAAAGCCCGGGGCCCAACCCCGGGACUGCUCUUGGAACUGCGUGGCUAGAGUGCAGGAGGGGCAGGCGGAAUUCCUAGUGUAGCGGUGAAAUGCGUAGAUAUUAGGAGGAACACCAGUGGCGAAGGCGGCUUGCUGGACAGAGACUGACGUUGAGGCUCGAAAGCGUGGGGAGCAAACAGGAUUAGAUACCCUUGUAC
Molecule: ribosomal RNA, 447 nt
Filed under: uncultured bacterium
Lineage: Bacteria
Description: partial 16S ribosomal RNA
Rfam family: Bacterial small subunit ribosomal RNA
Source: RNAcentral